Molecule: ribosomal RNA, 462 nt
Filed under: uncultured Pseudomonadota bacterium
Lineage: Bacteria; Pseudomonadati; Pseudomonadota
Description: bacterial SSU rRNA
Rfam family: Bacterial small subunit ribosomal RNA
Source: RNAcentral
UCGGCUUCAGGUGCUGCAUGGCUGUCGUCAGCUCGUGUCGUGAGAUGUUGGGUUAAGUCCCGCAACGAGCGCAACCCUCGCUCUUAGUUGCCAGCAUUCAGUUGGGCACUCUAAGAGAACCGCCGGUGAUAAGCCGGAGGAAGGUGGGGAUGACGUCAAGUCCUCAUGGCCCUUACGGGGUGGGCUACACACGUGCUACAAUGGCAGUGACAAUGGGUUAAUCCCCAAAAACUGUCUCAGUUCGGAUUGUCCUCUGCAACUCGAGGGCAUGAAGUUGGAAUCGCUAGUAAUCGCGUAACAGCAUGACGCGGUGAAUACGUUCCCGGGCCUUGUACACACCGCCCGUCACACCAUGGGAGUUGGGUUUACCCGAAGACGGUGCGCUGACUUCGGAGGCAGCCGGCCACGGUAGGCUCAGCGACUGGGGUGAAGUCGUAACAAGGUAGCCGUAGGGGAACCUGC